Molecule: long non-coding RNA, 331 nt
Filed under: Homo sapiens (human)
Lineage: Eukaryota; Metazoa; Chordata; Mammalia; Primates; Hominidae
Description: non-protein coding lnc-SPC25-6:1
Source: RNAcentral
UUGGUGGAUGGUCACGAUGUAGUUAUAGUGGCUGCUAAUUUACAGAAGAUUGUAGAUGAUCCCAAAGCUUUAAAAACAUUGACAUUUAAGUUGAAUCAAUUUUUGCAUUUGGAAGCAUUUGACUCUGCAGCGUUAGGGAACGUUUUCUGAUUGUGACUGGAAGUGUCCUCUUCUAUGAGCAUAGCUUUUUCUUAUCGUCACACCUUUGACUAAGAGCGGCCAUAUAAGAAUCUUGAAGCCUAGAUCAUUUUGCUUGCAGUUUGUAUUGCAACUUGACCAUAAAGACAAAAUUACACUGAAUUCAAAGCAACACUCUUAAUAAAGCUUUCCU